RNAcentral lists this transfer RNA (81 nucleotides) under Armillaria ostoyae. The record is from RNAcentral. Lineage: Eukaryota; Fungi; Basidiomycota; Agaricomycetes; Agaricales; Physalacriaceae.
GUCUGUAUAGUACAGUGGUUAGCAUGUUUGCUUGGGAUGGAAAUCUUUUUAAGAUCUUGGGUUCAAUUCCCAGAUCAGCCG